AUUGAACGCUGGCGGCAGGCCUAACACAUGCAAGUCGAGCGGAAACGAGUUAUCUAAACCUUCGGGGAACGAUAACGGCGUCGAGCGGCGGACGGGUGAAUAAUGCCUAGGAGAUUGCCCUGAUGUGGGGGAUAACCAUUGGAAACGAUGGCUAAUACCGCAUGAUGCCUACGGGCCAAAGAGGGGGACCUUCGGGCCUCUCGCGUCAGGAUAUGCCUAGGUGGGAUUAGCUAGUUGGUGAGGUAAGGGCUCACCAAGGCAACGAUCCCUAGCUGGUCUGAGAGGAUGAUCAGCCACACUGGAACUGAGACACGGUCCAGACUCCUACGGGAGGCAGCAGUGGGGAAUAUUGCACAAUGGGCGCAAGCCUGAUGCAGCCAUGCCGCGUGUGUGAAGAAGGCCUUCGGGUUGUAAAGCACUUUCAGUCGUGAGGAAGGUAGUGUGUUUAAUAGAUGCAUUAUUUGACGUUAGCGACAGAAGAAGCACCGGCUAACUCCGUGCCAGCAGCCGCGGUAAUACGGAGGGUGCGAGCGUUAAUCGGAAUUACUGGGCGUAAAGCGCAUGCAGGUGGUUUGUUAAGUCAGAUGUGAAAGCCCGGGGCUCAACCUCGGAAUAGCAUUUGAAACUGGCAGACUAGAGUACUGUAGAGGGGGGUAGAAUUUCAGGUGUAGCGGUGAAAUGCGUAGAGAUCUGAAGGAAUACCGGUGGCGAAGGCGGCCCCCUGGACAGAUACUGACACUCAGAUGCGAAAGCGUGGGGAGCAAACAGG
RNAcentral lists this ribosomal RNA (769 nucleotides) under uncultured Pseudoalteromonadaceae bacterium. Its description in RNAcentral is "bacterial SSU rRNA". It matches the Rfam family "Bacterial small subunit ribosomal RNA", at positions 28 to 776 of the family's 1533-position model. Lineage: Bacteria; Pseudomonadati; Pseudomonadota; Gammaproteobacteria; Alteromonadales; Pseudoalteromonadaceae. The record is from RNAcentral.